Oreochromis aureus is the source of this 1528-nucleotide long non-coding RNA. The record is from Ensembl. NCBI's taxonomy places the organism in Eukaryota, Metazoa, Chordata, Actinopteri, Cichliformes, Cichlidae.
CCUCCUCUUGCUCCUCCUUGUCCUUGUCGUCCUCUUCAUCCUACUUCUUCCCCUCCACGUCCUCUUCCUCAGCCUCCUCUACUUCUCACUCUUCCUGCUCCCUCCAUUGUACUCCACACACAGAGCUUACCUGUAGCUUAUUCAUAGUGCGUAGGCUGAUUGCAAAGUGAACUAAUUAUCUAAAACAGUUUUCACAUGUGAAAGUGUGCCAGACAGCUGGCAAAAUAGUGUAAAUAAUGGCCAUAAAUGUGUAUAGUUUUGCUAGGAGUGUGUUGCAAAUUUGGUAAUUGAGUGUAAGCAGUGAGUUGUGUUUAAAGUUCUGCAAAGUGUGUCUUACAAAAUGGCAAACUGAGUGCAAAGCAGUGUUUGUGCUUUUAGUUUUGCAAACUCAGUGAGUGGUUUUGCUAUAAGUAUUAAUAGUUUUAGAAAUUGUACUAUAAGAAUCACAGUUAGGGUUUAAGCAUUCAGAAAAAACUGUAAAGUUCUUGAAAUGGCUAAACUGAGGGCUUUUUGUAGUUGGCUGAUUGGUGUUCAGUUUUGCAAGUAAGUGCCUUCAGGUGUGUAUUUGAGUGGUUGCAAUUACCCGAUGUGUUUUGUAUUUUGGAUACAUGUGUUUUCCAAAUGGCACCCUGAAAUUUCAUUUUUGAACAAAGUGUCUUAUGUAUGAAAUAGAGUGUAGUAUGCAGGACCAUGUGUGUUGCAUAAAGGAGUAAGUGUGUUGCAUAAUUGCAACUAGAGUGCAAAGCAGCGCUUUUGUUUAAGGUAUGGAUACAUGUGUUUGAGGUAUGGUAACGAAAGCUUCAAGUUGUGUUACUUUAGUCUAAGCAUGGGUUUAUAGUGUUCAAGCAACGGGCAAAAACUGUAAUCUCUGUCUCUCUACCACAGCGUAUCCUGGAGGUUUCUUCCUGUUAAAAGGGAGUUUUUCUUUCCCACUGAUGCCAAAUGCUUACUCAUGGUGGUCACAUGAUUGUGGUAGUUUUCUCUGCAUUAUUAUAUGGUCUCUAACGUACAAUCAUAUGCGCCUUUAGGCAACUGUUAUUGUGAUUUGGUUCAAUCCAUCGACUGUCUUACACUGAUCCUUGUCAGAGUGGUGAGGGCUGGAGCGUAUCCCAUGACGCUGUUACAAACACGUCCUUUAAUCAAGCUCCAAAACAUGUGAGUCAACCUGAAUCCUUUAGAUUUGCAUCUGAAACUUUCUUUAAAAAUGUUAAAAAAUGAUGCCCAGCAGCUCGUUCACACUGAACCUGAUGGUUCAUGAGAAGAUCCACAGUUAAAAUACACACAGAUCGUCCAAUAACAACUCACUUUAUCCACUUUUAAAAAAGCUUACACGCUGUGAAAAGCACAAAGCGAUGCAUCAGUGAGUCCCCAGUACGAGUGUUAGGGCCCGAGCAGAGCCUGACAGGUGUGCUGCAAUCUAGGUGUGUGUGUGUGUGUGUGUGUGUGUGUGUGUGUGUGUGUGUGUGUGUGUGUGUGUGUGUGUGUGAGAGAGUGUGUGUGUGUGUGAGAGAGAGUGUGUGUGUGAGAG